This 500-nucleotide ribosomal RNA is filed under the name uncultured bacterium. Its description in RNAcentral is "partial 16S ribosomal RNA". It matches the Rfam family "Bacterial small subunit ribosomal RNA", at positions 30 to 523 of the family's 1533-position model. The record is from RNAcentral.
AUUGAACGCUGGCGGAAUGCUUUACACAUGCAAGUCGAACGGCAGCACGGACUUCGGUCUGGUGGCGAGUGGCGAACGGGUGAGUAAUGUAUCGGAACGUGCCCAGUCGUGGGGGAUAACGUAGUGAAAAUUACGCUAAUACCGCAUACGAGCUAUGGAUGAAAGCGGGGGAUCGCAAGACCUCGCGCGAUUGGAGCGGCCGAUAGCAGAUUAGGUAGUUGGUGGGGUAAAGGCCCACCAAGCCAAAGAUAUGUAGCUGGUCUGAGAGGACGACCAGCCAAACUGGAACUGAGACACGGUCCAGACUCCUACGGGAGGCAGCAGUGGGGAAUUUUGGACAAUGGGCGAAAGCCUGAUCCAGCCAUUCCGCGUGCAGGAUGAAGGCCCUCGGGUUGUAAACUGCUUUUGUACAGAACGAAAAGGUUUCUACUAAUACUAGGAGCUCAUGACGGUACUGUAAGAAUAAGCACCGGCUAACUACGUGCCAGCCGCCGCCGUAA